GCCGCCGUGGGUCGGCCCGCUCGACGUCGUCGUCGUCGCGGGCGACGACGCGGGCGACCCGCAGCUCGCCGAGUCGGUCGCCGCGGCCCUGCGGCGC
RNAcentral lists this transfer RNA (97 nucleotides) under Rhodococcus sp. YH1. RNAcentral describes it as "tRNA-Arg". The record is from RNAcentral. Lineage: Bacteria; Bacillati; Actinomycetota; Actinomycetes; Mycobacteriales; Nocardiaceae. RNAcentral also lists the same sequence under 1 other name.